This is a long non-coding RNA of Lemur catta (Ring-tailed lemur), 1379 nucleotides long. RefSeq lists it as uncharacterized. The transcript has 3 exons. Lineage: Eukaryota; Metazoa; Chordata; Mammalia; Primates; Lemuridae. The record is from RefSeq and is a predicted model, not a curated record.
GGGCGUCAUGCAGUGCUUAACCCCGGGGUGCGGGCAUUCAAGGAGUGGGCAGUUCAGCCGGCGGUGGGCACUGUUGGCCCCCAGACAUUUCUCAGUGGAAACAGCAUCCUGAGGAAGUGAGUCUGUGUGGGACUCACUCGUGCCUUGUUCUUCCCAGCUCUUCCACAUCACUGUGCAUUCAUGCGGCAGAGACACGCCAGGCCAAGCGUUUUGGUUAUCUGUUGCUGUAUAAAAACGCCACCCCUAAACCUCAAAAGCAUGUUGCCAAGUGAAAGAAGCCAAUCUGCAAAGGCCACAUACAGUAUGAUCUCCACUAUGUGACAUUCUGGAAAAGGCGAGCCUACGGAGACAGUAAGAAGAUCAGUGAUUGUCAGGGCCUCGGGGGCAGGGACGGAGGAAGGCCAGCACAGUGCAGCCAGGGAUGCUCCCAGACCAUUUUUCUUCGUGGCGUGGCACUGCAUCCUUCCAGACAGUGAAGACGCUCAGACAGGUGGGUGCCGGGGCUGAGGGCAGGAGGAGGACAGGAAUGCCCAGCGGGGUAGCCUGUGCGGGCUACUGUGUGGGGAACACCGGGCCGCGCGGCCGUGUGGCCUCCCCCGGAGGACACGCCGUGGCCGGGGUGCUGUGGCCGAGUCCCCGACCACGGGCAUGCCCGGCGACGUGAGGGCGCGGACAGAGCAAGGGCUGCACGCGGCUCUGCCCUCGCGGACCCCACGCCAGCCCGGCGGCGCCGUGAAGACCCACCCGGAGCAGGGUCUGCGAGGGCCGUGGAACAUCCAGCGACGUUCGUGCCGUAGAAGGGAGGGACACCAGGCGGAGCUGGCGUGAGAGAACCCGUGGCCGCAGGGCUGGGAAGAGCCAGGCCGUGCUGAUCGCACGGGCUCCUUUCAGGACAGAGGGGCUGCGAGACGCUCAAGGGAGGGACGGGGACGGGAGAGGAGACGGGGAGGGUGGUCCAAUGGGGGACUCUAAGGAACGUCGUGAAGAGACAGUUCGACAUGAGGCGCUGUCCAAAGCGAGCCUCCUUCCCCAGGGCCUUAGGGGCCAGGAAAGAACCCUGAAGGAAGGGCUGGGACCGCAGUGGCCAGGGCUUGUGGAAGACUUAGCUGGCAGGUGAGGGACAGCCCUGAGGGCAGCUCGAGGGGCAGCACGCGCCCCGCUGAUUGAAUGCGGCCACCAGCCACGCCCCGGGGCUUUGCACCCGCACAGCUCCCAGCCUGUGUGACAGUGGAGUCAGGGCAGGCUGUCGCUGGUACUAAGAAAAGAAAAGGGACCAUAAAUCCCACCCCAGACCUUGUUUUUGGAAAGGAAGCCUUUCCUUAUCCUUUUUCUGAGUGGUAGUAGCCAAUUUUAGCCAAAAUAAACUACUUAGGAAUUAA